UGGGGAAUCUUGCACAAUGGGCGAAAGCCUGAUGCAGCGACGCCGCGUGCGGGAUGAAGGCCUUCGGGUCGUAAACCGCUUUCAGCAGGGACGAGGCCGCAAGGUGACGGUACCUGCAGAAGAAGCCCCGGCUAACUACGUGCCAGCAGCCGCGGUAAUACGUAGGGGGCAAGCGUUAUCCGGAUUCAUUGGGCGUAAAGCGCGCGUAGGCGGCCUGUUAGGUCGGGAGUCAAAUCCGGGGGCUCAACCCCCGUCCGCUCCCGAUACCGGCAGGCUUGAGUCUGGUAGGGGAAGGCGGAAUUCCAAGUGUAGCGGUGGAAUGCGCAGAUAUUUGGAAGAACACCGGUGGCGAAGGCGGCCUUCUGGGCCACGACUGACGCUGAGGCGCGAAAGCUAGGGGAGCGAACAGG
This 410-nucleotide ribosomal RNA is filed under the name Coriobacteriaceae bacterium enrichment culture. RNAcentral's name for it is "bacterial SSU rRNA". It matches the Rfam family "Bacterial small subunit ribosomal RNA", at positions 355 to 776 of the family's 1533-position model. Lineage: Bacteria; Bacillati; Actinomycetota; Coriobacteriia; Coriobacteriales; Coriobacteriaceae. The record is from RNAcentral.